GUGGGGAAUAUUGGACAAUGGGCGAAAGCCUGAUCCAGCCAUGCCGCGUGUGUGAAGAAGGUCUUCGGAUUGUAAAGCACUUUAAGUUGGGAGGAAGGGCAGUAAGUUAAUACCUUGCUGUUUUGACGUUACCGACAGAAUAAGCACCGGCUAACUUCGUGCCAGCAGCCGCGGUAAUACGAAGGGUGCAAGCGUUAAUCGGAAUUACUGGGCGUAAAGCGCGCGUAGGUGGUUUUGUAAGUUGGAGGUGAAAUCCCCGGGCUCAACCUGGGAACUGCCUCCAAAACUGGAUGACUAGAGUACGGUAGAGGGUAGUGGAAUUUCCUGUGUAGCGGUGAAAUGCGUAGAUAUAGGAAGGAACACCAGUGGCGAAGGCGACUACCUGGACUGAUACUGACACUGGGGUGCGAAAGCGUGGGGAGCAAACAGGAUUAGAUACCCCGGUAGUCC
RNAcentral lists this ribosomal RNA (450 nucleotides) under uncultured bacterium. RNAcentral describes it as "partial 16S ribosomal RNA". It matches the Rfam family "Bacterial small subunit ribosomal RNA", at positions 354 to 796 of the family's 1533-position model. The record is from RNAcentral.